UAUCCAGAAUGUCUCUUCCUCCCUUCUCUUAUCCCCUAUUUAUAGGAGUGGAAAGCCAUGAAGGAAAGGUUGCCACCAUUCCGUCAUACUGUUUUAUCUAAAAGUUGUCACCUUUUAUCAUGUCACUUCACUUAAAAGGUAAUCACUCUUUACAUAUGGUUUUAUCUAAAAGGUCUUUUCACAUGCCACUUUAUUUAAAAGGUUAUCACUUUU
Molecule: long non-coding RNA, 213 nt
Filed under: Carica papaya (papaya)
Lineage: Eukaryota; Viridiplantae; Streptophyta; Magnoliopsida; Brassicales; Caricaceae
Description: long non-coding RNA (CPAP_LNC009352)
Source: RNAcentral